This 301-nucleotide ribosomal RNA is filed under the name uncultured bacterium. RNAcentral describes it as "partial 16S ribosomal RNA". It matches the Rfam family "Bacterial small subunit ribosomal RNA", at positions 509 to 807 of the family's 1533-position model. The record is from RNAcentral.
CAGUCGCCACGGUAAUACGUAGGUGGCAAGCGUUGUCCGGAAUUAUUGGGCGUAAAGGGCUCGCAGGCGGUUUCUUAAGUCUGAUGUGAAAGCCCCCGGCUCAACCGGGGAGGGUCAUUGGAAACUGGGAAACUUGAGUGCAGAAGAGGAGAGUGGAAUUCCACGUGUAGCGGUGAAAUGCGUAGAGAUGUGGAGGAACACCAGUGGCGAAGGCGACUCUCUGGUCUGUAACUGACGCUGAGGAGCAGAAGCGUGGGGAGCGAACAGGAUUAGAUACCCCUGUAGUCCCUGUCUCUUAUAC